This is a non-coding RNA of Phrynosoma platyrhinos (Desert horned lizard), 72 nucleotides long. NCBI's taxonomy places the organism in Eukaryota, Metazoa, Chordata, Lepidosauria, Squamata, Phrynosomatidae. The record is from the annotation of a GenBank genome assembly.
GCCUGCAUAGUGUAGUGGUUUGAGCACUGGACUACAACUCUAGAGACCUGAGUUCGAAUCCCAGUUCAGCCA